UAGGGAAUCUUCGGCAAUGGACGAAAGUCUGACCGAGCAACGCCGCGUGAGUGAAGAAGGUUUUCGGAUCGUAAAACUCUGUUGGUAGAGAAGAACGUUGGUGAGAGUGGAAAGCUCAUCAAGUGACGGUAACUACCCAGAAAGGGACGGCUAACUACGUGCCAGCAGCCGCGGUAAUACGUAGGUCCCGAGCGUUGUCCGGAUUUAUUGGGCGUAAAGCGAGCGCAGGUGGUUUAUUAAGUCUGGUGUAAAAGGCAGUGGCUCAACCAUUGUAUGCAUUGGAAACUGGUAGACUUGAGUGCAGGAGAGAGAGUGGAAUUCCAUGUGUAGCGGUGAAAUGCGUAGAUAUAUGGAGGAACACCGGUGGCGAAAGCGGCUCUCUGGCCUGUAACUGACACUGAGGCUCGAAAGCGUGGGGAGCAAACAGGAUUAGAUACCCUGGUAGUCCACGCCGUAAACGAUGAGUGCUAGAUGUAGGGAGCUAUAAGUUCUCUGUAUCGCAGCUAACGCAAUAAGCACUCCGCCUGGGGAGUACGACCGCAAGGUUGAAAC
RNAcentral lists this ribosomal RNA (552 nucleotides) under uncultured bacterium. Its description in RNAcentral is "partial 16S ribosomal RNA". It matches the Rfam family "Bacterial small subunit ribosomal RNA", at positions 355 to 900 of the family's 1533-position model. The record is from RNAcentral.